This 494-nucleotide ribosomal RNA is filed under the name uncultured bacterium. RNAcentral's name for it is "partial 16S ribosomal RNA". It matches the Rfam family "Bacterial small subunit ribosomal RNA", at positions 28 to 507 of the family's 1533-position model. The record is from RNAcentral.
GACGAACGCUGGCGGCGUGCUUAACACAUGCAAGUCGAACGGUAACGCGCCUUCCUUUUUGGUCGGUGUGGAGGAGUGGCGACCGGGUGAGUAACCCGUGAGUAACCUGCACCCUUCUUCUGGAAAACCGCAUGAAAGUGUGGCUAAUACGGGACAUUCUGCGGCUGUCGCAUGGUGGGUCUGGGACAGAUAUUGUUUCGGUGGGCGAUUGGCUGGCGGCCUAUCAGCUUGUUGGGGGGAUGAUGGCCUACCAAGGCGGUGACGGGUAGGCGGGCUGGGAGGGUGGACGGUAACAGAGGGACGGCGACGCCGAGCAGACUCCUACGGGAGGCAGCAGUGGGGAAUAUUGCACGAGGGGAGGAAGCAUGAUGCAGCGACGCGGGGUGAGGGAUGGCGGCCUGGGUGUUGUGAACCUCUUUCGGGAGUGAAGCCGGUCAGGCUCGUAUGUUGGGAGGAUGACGGUAGCUGAAUAAGAAGCGCCGGCUAACUACGUG